Molecule: unclassified non-coding RNA, 251 nt
Filed under: Hevea brasiliensis (rubber tree)
Lineage: Eukaryota; Viridiplantae; Streptophyta; Magnoliopsida; Malpighiales; Euphorbiaceae
Source: RNAcentral
UGGCUUUUUCUCUUGCCUGUAUUCUCUUUAGCUCACUAUUAUUAACAUUCUUGCCGGCAUCAAUUGCUCGAUCUGCUAAUUUAGUUCGGUUGGUGAUUCACUUUUAGCUGGUGACAACAAUUCUUUCUGGACUUCACCAUCCGGUGAUUUUGCCUUCGGUUUUCGCCAACUCAACAGCAACAACAAAGAUCUUUUCUUGCUUUCUAUAUGGUUCCAUAAGAUACCAGAAAAGACUAUUUUUUUGGUCUGCA